This 74-nucleotide transfer RNA is filed under the name PVC group bacterium (ex Bugula neritina AB1). RNAcentral's name for it is "tRNA-Ile". It matches the Rfam family "tRNA". Rfam says of the family: Transfer RNA (tRNA) molecules are approximately 80 nucleotides in length. Their secondary structure includes four short double-helical elements and three loops (D, anti-codon, and T loops). The record is from RNAcentral. Lineage: Bacteria; Pseudomonadati.
GGGCUCAUAGCUCAGCUGGUUAGAGCGCAGCCCUGAUAAGGCUGAGGUCGGUAGUUCGAAUCUAUCUGGGCCCA